AUGCGAAACCGGGGCUUUUGUGCCCUGGUCGCCAGGCGGUGGUGCGCCUGGCCUGAUGAGCAGCCAAAG
RNAcentral lists this non-coding RNA (69 nucleotides) under Magnetococcales bacterium. Lineage: Bacteria; Pseudomonadati; Pseudomonadota; Magnetococcia; Magnetococcales. The record is from RNAcentral.